CGCCAUUUUGACUAUAUAUAGAGUCUCGUUUUCAUGUGACAUUAGUUAUACCUUCAACAUCAUAGAGAUUAUAAAUAACACUAGAGGGGGCAUCGUAAUUUGAAUUCAGUCAAAGAAAGGGAACGCGGCUAUUUGGGGGCAAAAAAUUAAAAUGCUAACUGAGAGCGAGUUAAAAUCUUUAAAUUCUUGUAUUUUUAACUCAAUUUUGUCCAUAACACAUUUUUG
Molecule: non-coding RNA, 225 nt
Organism: Paramuricea clavata
Lineage: Eukaryota; Metazoa; Cnidaria; Anthozoa; Malacalcyonacea; Plexauridae
Source: the annotation of a GenBank genome assembly